Molecule: ribosomal RNA, 837 nt
Filed under: uncultured bacterium
Lineage: Bacteria
Description: bacterial SSU rRNA
Rfam family: Bacterial small subunit ribosomal RNA
Source: RNAcentral
GGCGGACGGGUGAGUAAUGCUUAGGAAUCUGCCUAUUAGUGGGGGACAACAUUCCGAAAGGAAUGCUAAUACCGCAUACGUCCUACGGGAGAAAGCAGGGGAUCUUCGGACCUUGCGCUAAUAGAUGAGCCUAAGUCGGAUUAGCUAGUUGGUGGGGUAAAGGCCUACCAAGGCGACGAUCUGUAGCGGGUCUGAGAGGAUGAUCCGCCACACUGGGACUGAGACACGGCCCAGACUCCUACGGGAGGCAGCAGUGGGGAAUAUUGGACAAUGGGCGGAAGCCUGAUCCAGCCAUGCCGCGUGUGUGAAGAAGGCCUUUUGGUUGUAAAGCACUUUAAGCGAGGAGGAGGCUACUCUAGUUAAUACCUAGAGAUAGUGGACGUUACUCGCAGAAUAAGCACCGGCUAACUCUGCGCCAGCAGCCGCGGUAAUACAGAGGGUGCGAGCGUUAAUCGGAUUUACUGGGCGUAAAGCGUGCGUAGGCGGCUGAUUAAGUCGGAUGUGAAAUCCCUGAGCUUAACUUAGGAAUUGCAUUCGAUACUGGUCAGCUAGAGUAUGGGAGAGGAUGGUAGAAUUCCAGGUGUAGCGGUGAAAUGCGUAGAGAUCUGGAGGAAUACCGAUGGCGAAGGCAGCCAUCUGGCCUAAUACUGACGCUGAGGUACGAAAGCACGGGGAGCAAACAGGAUUAGAUACCCUGGUAGUCCAUGCCGUAAACGAUGUCUACUAGCCGUUGGGGCCUUUGAGGCUUUAGUGGCGCAGCUAACGCGAUAAGUAGACCGCCUGGGGAGUACGGUCGCAAGACUAAAACUCAAAUGAAUUGACGGGGGCCCGCACAAG